This 497-nucleotide ribosomal RNA is filed under the name uncultured bacterium. RNAcentral's name for it is "partial 16S ribosomal RNA". It matches the Rfam family "Bacterial small subunit ribosomal RNA", at positions 28 to 507 of the family's 1533-position model. The record is from RNAcentral.
GAUGAACGCUGGCGGCGUGCCUAAUACAUGCAAGUCGAGCGAACAGAUGAGGAGCUUGCUCCUCUGACGUUAGCGGCGGACGGGUGAGUAACACGUGGAUCACCUACCUAUAAGACGGGUAUAACUUCGAGAAACCGGCGCUAAUACCGGAUAAUAUAUUGAACCGCAUGGUUCAAUAGUAAAAGACGGUUUUGCUGUCACUUAUAGAUGGAUCCGGGCCGGAUUAGCUGGUUGGUAAGGUAACGGCCUACCAAGGCGACUAUGCGUAUCCGACGGGAGAGGGGGAUCGGCCACAUGGGAACGGAGACGGGGUCCAGAGUCCUACGGGAGGCAGCAGUAGGGAAUGUUCCGCAAUGGGCGAAAGCCUGACGGAGCAGCGCCGCGUGAGUGAUGAAGGCCUUCGGAUCGUAAAACUCUGUUAUUAGGGAAGAACAAAUGUGUAAGGAACUAUGCACGGCGUGACGGUACCUAAUCAGAAAGCCACGGCUAACUACGUG